Molecule: long non-coding RNA, 2215 nt
Organism: Brassica rapa (field mustard)
Lineage: Eukaryota; Viridiplantae; Streptophyta; Magnoliopsida; Brassicales; Brassicaceae
Source: RefSeq, a predicted model, not a curated record
AUCGACCGAACCAAAGUGAGAAAAAAAAAAGAAUCCAUGCUUUAUCGCAGACUUAAAUUUCCCAUUUUGUCAUUCUAACCAAGUGUUUUUUCUAUAGCAUAUGCUUCAUCCGCUAAGACAUACAGUUAUGCUUAGACCAAUGAAUCUGAAUCAGCAGCUCUGCUGGAAACUCUAUGGACAGUUCAGGUUUAUCUUAGUUCUUUAAUAUCGUCUCCUCAGUUCCAUCUGCAACCUUCUCAGAUAUCUCUGUUGAUUUAUUUUUAGGAUUGAUUAAUAUGACCUUUCUAAGCUGCCUGAAAAUACUCUCGCGUCUCCGUUGUAGGAAAUAACUGAAAUAACCAAGCUCGAAACACUCACAAUGGUGAGAUCCUUGCCUCUGUUAGGAAUGAAACAGCUCAGGACUCUUUUUCAAUUGCAUUGCAAAAAUUGACGAUCUAGAGAAGGAAGCAGGCUGGUAAUAUAUUGCCCGCAUUGGCUACCAAACAAAAGUAAACAGGGGUCCUGCAUUAUUGAUGUUCUCAAAAUGGGGUGCUGACAAUGCUAAUGGUAUGGUAAAGUAAUUUCACACGUUCAUCUACGAUAAUGCCAAGAAGGAAACAUUUUUGUGCUGCUUGGUGACGCCGGUGAAUACCUCACGGGAAGACAAGCCUCUGAUUUACUUGACACGUAUCUGGAGAGACUUGGUUCUGGUCAAGAAAUGGAAACUCCUCAAUGCCUGGUCAACUCCAUCGGCCUGACCCACAAAUUCAAGGUGAAAGUAACACCAUACAACUUCACAGCCAAAAGACAGAUUAUUACCGCCACCAGGGUGUCUGUCCUGCAGUACCCCCACCUCCUAAUCCUACAAGGCUACACUGGACAUCCCCAUCGCUGCUUAAGAUGUGCCUGACAAACUCAUUGACAAGAAUGAUGUCAACAACUCAGCCCAAUUGACAGAGAUGUAGCCAGUGUUUAAUGGUGAGUCAAGUUCAUCAACCAAGGACGAGGACCAGAAAGUGAAACAAAACAUCGUGGGCGUUGUGCCUAGGACCUCAGCCCCUCCACGUACUGACCCAGUUGGAAUCCUUGGAGACCAUUGCGACGUCCAACAUCGUCCAGUUGUAAUCAAAAGAAGUGUGACAUGUUAUUUUCUGAGAAAACUCAGGACAUACAUAUGGCUCGGUUAGUGUUUCAACAAUAAAACAUAUGGCUCGGUUAGAACCUAGUAAACCAAAUAAAACGAACACAUACAGAUUAUUUAAAAUAAAGGUUUAUACUCCCUCCGUUCCUUAAUGAUGGAUUUUUUAGAAAAAAGUUUGUUUCAAAAAGAUGUAUUUUUUGUGUUUUCUAUGAAAAAUUUGUAAACUUCAAAAAAAUUAAUUGACUUUAUUGAAUUACUAUUUGGUAAAAAUUAUUGAAAAUUGAAAAUUAUAGAAAACGAUACAUUUAUUAUGGUAGUUUAAUGUGUUUUCUUAAUAUGUGUCAAAAUACUAAAAAGUCUAUAUUUGUGGAACGGAGGGAGUAUAAUAGUAUAUCUGUAUAUCAAGUAUACGAUAUAAUCAUAUAAUUGACAAUAUAAAGUUUGGCUGCUUAAUUAUAUGAACUUCGUUCUUAAAAGUUUGAUUUUUACUUUAUUUUAGUCUUUUUAGAAGUCCAAAUUUGUUUUCUAUUUCUUUUGGAUUAUUCAAAUUGAAUUACAUAGGUAAAAUAGAAAAUGCCAUAAAUUCCCUAAUAUCAAUGUCUAAAGGUUAGUUCCCCGAACUUCAUAUUUGGUCAUGAAAAUAUAGUCAUCAUCUUACUCUUGACAAAAGAGUGGAACUAGCUCCCACCCCAAAUGAUAUACGAAGCUAAUAUAGUUAACAUUAAGGGAAAAUUGGAAAAAUGGGACACUUUGGACUUUUAUUUGUCACAAUAGUACUUCUGAUAUUUUGGGCAAUUCUGGACAACUUUUACCCUUCUUUUAUGGUAAAAAUAGUAAACUGAAUUUUAAAAAUGUUAAAAAAUAUGAAAACUAUUGGAAACAUAAGUAUGACAAUAUAUAUGUUUUAAAUUUUUUUUUUAAAAGCGGAAUCAUAUUUUAUUUUAUCUUCUGGCUACAGUUAGAAUACUCAUUCUGGUCAUCUACUUAGUCUAGAUAUCAGAUACUAAGUUUUAUACAUAGAUAUAUCUUGGGUAUACAACGUAAACUAGCUUUUCUUAUAUAUUCUAACCAAACUAUAUUUCAAAACGUUAUAAU